GCGCCCGUAGCUCAGUUGGAUAGAGCGCCGGACUUCGAAUCCGUAGGUCGGGGGUUCGAGACCCUCCGGGCGCGCCA
Molecule: transfer RNA, 77 nt
Filed under: Hyphomicrobiales bacterium
Lineage: Bacteria; Pseudomonadati; Pseudomonadota; Alphaproteobacteria; Hyphomicrobiales
Also listed under: 5 other names
Description: tRNA-Arg
Rfam family: tRNA
About the family: Transfer RNA (tRNA) molecules are approximately 80 nucleotides in length.
Source: RNAcentral